CCGUAAGAGAGCUUUGAAUUUUCGUGGCUACACUGGUUCUUCGAGUUUCCUCUAAACGGCGCAGGCUUCAGUUGGCACCGCUUCCCUGGUAUUUCUGGGUGAGAAGUUUUUGAAUUUCUUUUUGUAAUUGUAUUGAGCGUUUGGUGCUUUCUUGUCUUCGUAUGGUUUUUCCCUCUGUCUAUGACGUCUUGUCAUUUAAUGACUG
RNAcentral lists this long non-coding RNA (205 nucleotides) under Salvia miltiorrhiza (redroot sage). Its description in RNAcentral is "long non-coding RNA (SMIL_LNC002998)". Lineage: Eukaryota; Viridiplantae; Streptophyta; Magnoliopsida; Lamiales; Lamiaceae. The record is from RNAcentral.